GACGAACGCUGGCGGCGUGCCUAAUACAUGCAAGUCGAACGCUUUUUCUUUCACCGGAGCUUGCUCCACCGAAAGAAAAGGAGUGGCGAACGGGUGAGUAACACGUGGGUAACCUGCCCAUCAGAAGGGGAUAACACUUGGAAACAGGUGCUAAUACCGUAUAACACUAUUUUCCGCAUGGAAGAAAGUUGAAAGGCGCUUUUGCGUCACUGAUGGAUGGACCCGGGGUGCAUUAGCUAGUUGGUGAGGUAACGGCUCACCAAGGCAACGAUGCAUAGCCGACCUGAGAGGGUGAUCGGCCACACUGGGACUGAGACACGGCCCAGACUCCUACGGGAGGUAGCAGUAGGGAAUCUUCGGCAAUGGACGAAAGUCUGACCGAGCAACGCCGCGUGAGUGAAGAAGGUUUUCGGAUCGUAAAACUCUGUUGUUAGAGAAGAACAAGGAUGAGAGUAAAACGUUCAUCCCUUGACGGUAUCUAACCAGAAAGCCACGGCUAACUACGUGCCAGCCGCCGCGGUAA
RNAcentral lists this ribosomal RNA (523 nucleotides) under uncultured bacterium. RNAcentral describes it as "partial 16S ribosomal RNA". It matches the Rfam family "Bacterial small subunit ribosomal RNA", at positions 28 to 523 of the family's 1533-position model. The record is from RNAcentral.